This is a long non-coding RNA of Eriocheir sinensis (Chinese mitten crab), 2020 nucleotides long. RefSeq lists it as uncharacterized. The record is from RefSeq and is a predicted model, not a curated record. The transcript is spliced from 6 exons. NCBI's taxonomy places the organism in Eukaryota, Metazoa, Arthropoda, Malacostraca, Decapoda, Varunidae.
AUAGUUCCUCUCUGCAACACAAGUCCUACAGCAAUACUUCCUCUCCACAACACAAGUCCUACAGCAAUACUUCCUCUCUACAACACAAGUCCUACAGCAAUACUUCCUCUCUGCAACACAAGUCCUACAGCAAUACUUCCUCUCCACAACACAAGUCCUAUAGCAAUACUUCCUCUCCACAACACAAGUCCUAUAGCAAUACUUCCUCUCCACAACACAAGUCCUACAGCAAUACUUCCUCUCCACAACACAAGUCCUAUAGCAAUACUUCCUCUCCACAACACAAGUCCUAUAGCAAUACUUCCUCUCCACAACACAAGUCCUAUAGCAAUACUUCCUCUCCACAACACAAGUCCUACAGCAAUACUUCCUCUCCACAACACAAGUCCUAUAGCAAUACUUCCUCUCCACAACACAAGUCCAACAGCAAUACUUCCUCUCCACAACACAAGUCCUACAGCAAUACUUCCUCUCCACAACACAAGUCCUACAACAAUAUAAGGAUCGUAAUGUUACGUUUACGUAAAGACGAGAAAUAAGCAAACAGUGAGUGCUGGGCUGACGUAACCUUGCCUCAACGUACAGAGAUCAAAGUGUGAAUUGAAGUUACUUAUACAAUCAUCUCGUAAGUAAGGUUGACAAAUUAUAUUCCAUCAGUUUAAAUGACGUAAUCUUCCCUAUACAUACAGAUCAAGGUAACAUAUGAAAUGAAAUGAGGUUACUUAUACAAACAUCUCGUAGGUAAGGUUGGCGUAACUUAUAUUUUGCUAGUUUAAAUGACAUAAUCUUCUCUAUACGUACAGGUCAAAGUAACAUACGACAUACGAGUUAAUUGAGGUUACUCAUAAAAACAUCUCAAAGGUAAGGUUGGCGUAACUUAUAUUUUGCUAGUUUAAAGGAUGUAAUCUUCCCCAUACAUACAGAGAUCACUGUAACAUACAACAUAUGAAAUGAAUUGAGGUUACUUAUACAAACAUACCAGUGAAUUGAGGUUACUUAUACAAACAUACCAGUGAAUUGAGGUUACUUAUACAAACAUACCAGUGAAUUGAGGUUACUUAUACAAACAUACCAGUGAAUUGAGGUUACUUAUACAAACAUACCAGUGAAUUGAGGUUACUUAUACAAACAUACCAGUGAAUUGAGGUUACUUAUACAAACAUACCAGUGAAUUGAGGUUACUUAUACAAACAUACCAGUGAAUUGAGGUUACUUAUACAAACAUACCAGUGAAUUGAGGUUACUUAUACAAACAUACCAGUGAAUUGAGGUUACUUAUACAAACAUACCAGUGAAUUGAGGUUACUUAUACAAACAUACCAGUGAAUUGAGGUUACUUAAACAAACAUACCAGUGAAUUGAGGUUACUUAUACAAACAUACCAGUGAAUUGAGGUUACUUAAACAAACAUACCAGUGAAUUGAGGUUACUUAAACAAACAUACCAGUGAAUUGAGGUUACUUAUACAAACAUACCAGUGAAUUGAGGUUACUUAUACAAACAUACCAGUGAAUUGAGGUUACUUAUACAAACAUACCAGUGAAUUGAGGUUACUUAUACAAACAUACCAGUGAAUUGAGGUUACUUAUACAAACAUACCAGUGAAUUGAGGUUACUUAUACAAACAUACCAGUGAAUUGAGGUUACUUAUACAAACAUGCCAGUGAAUUGAGGUUACUUAUACAAACACCUCGCAGGUUAAGGUUGACAUAACUUAUAUAUCGUUAGUUUAAGAGACGUAAUCUUGCCUAUACGUACAGAGAUCAAAAUAACAUAUCUCGAGGGUAGGAUUCACGUAACUUGUAUUUCAUUAGUUUAAGGUUACGUAUACUUACAAUAACAUCGUAAAGAGGGAAAGAAUAAAGGAAAGAAAGAAGGUGUGUUGAAAGGUCAUCUUAUCGCCUACAAACACCAAGAGACAAACAUUGGGGUGAGGGAGGGAGGGAAGGGUAGCAAACACACACACACACACACACACACACACACACACACACACACACACACACACACACAAAUGAAA